RNAcentral lists this ribosomal RNA (633 nucleotides) under Penicillium carneum. RNAcentral's name for it is "eukaryotic LSU rRNA". It matches the Rfam family "Eukaryotic large subunit ribosomal RNA", at positions 1 to 648 of the family's 3401-position model. Lineage: Eukaryota; Fungi; Ascomycota; Eurotiomycetes; Eurotiales; Aspergillaceae. The record is from RNAcentral.
UUGACCUCGGAUCAGGUAGGGAUACCCGCUGAACUUAAGCAUAUCAAUAAGCGGAGGAAAAGAAACCAACAGGGAUUGCCCCAGUAACGGCGAGUGAAGCGGCAAGAGCUCAAAUUUGAAAGCUGGCUCCUUCGGGGUCCGCAUUGUAAUUUGUAGAGGAUGCUUCGGGAGCGGUCCCCAUCUAAGUGCCCUGGAACGGGACGUCAUAGAGGGUGAGAAUCCCGUAUGGGAUGGGGUGUCCGCGCCCGUGUGAAGCUCCUUCGACGAGUCGAGUUGUUUGGGAAUGCAGCUCUAAAUGGGUGGUAAAUUUCAUCUAAAGCUAAAUAUUGGCCGGAGACCGAUAGCGCACAAGUAGAGUGAUCGAAAGAUGAAAAGCACUUUGAAAAGAGAGUUAAAAAGCACGUGAAAUUGUUGAAAGGGAAGCGCUUGCGACCAGACUCGCUCGCGGGGUUCAGCCGGCAUUCGUGCCGGUGUAUUUCCCCGCGGGCGGGCCAGCGUCGGUUUGGGCGGUCGGUCAAAGGCCCUCGGAAGGUAACGCCCCUAGGGGCGUCUUAUAGCCGAGGGUGCAAUGCGACCUGCCUAGACCGAGGAACGCGCUUCGGCUCGGACGCUGGCAUAAUGGUCGUAAGCGAC